Molecule: ribosomal RNA, 856 nt
Filed under: uncultured Actinomycetes bacterium
Lineage: Bacteria; Bacillati; Actinomycetota; Actinomycetes
Description: bacterial SSU rRNA
Rfam family: Bacterial small subunit ribosomal RNA
Source: RNAcentral
AGAGUUUGAUCCUGGCUCAGGACGAACGCUGGCGGCGUGCUUAACACAUGCAAGUCGAGCGAUGAGAUCACUUCGGUGAAGGAUUAGCGGCGAACGGGUGAGGAACACGUGAAGAAUCUGCCUUCAACUCUGGGAUAACUCCGGGAAACCGGGGCUAAUACCGGAUAUGAGCCUUGAUCGCAUGAUCGGGGCUGGAAAGUUUUUCGGUUGAAGAUGACUUCGCGGCCUAUCAGCUUGUUGGUGAGGUAAUGGCUCACCAAGGCGACGACGGGUAGCCGGCCUGAGAGGGCGACCGGCCACACUGGGACUGAGACACGGCCCAGACUCCUACGGGAGGCAGCAGUGGGGAAUAUUGGGCAAUGGACGAAAGUCUGACCCAGCGACGCCGCGUGCGGGAUGAAGGCCUUCGGGUUGUAAACCGCUUUCAGCAGGGAAUAAGCGCAAGUGAAGGUACCUGCAGAAGAAGCACCGGCUAACUAUGUGCCAGCAGCCGCGGUAAUACAUAGGGUGCAAGCGUUGUCCGGAAUUAUUGGGCGUAAAGAGCUCGUAGGUGGUUUGUUACGUCGGUUGUGAAAUUCAGGGGCUCAACCCCUGACUUGCAGCCGAUACGGGCAAGCUAGAGUUUGGUAGGGGAGACUGGAAUUCCUGGUGUAGCGGUGGAAUGCGCAGAUAUCAGGAGGAACACCGAUGGCGAAGGCAGGUCUCUGGGCCAAUACUGACACUGAGGAGCGAAAGCGUGGGGAGCGAACAGGAUUAGAUACCCUGGUAGUCCACGCCGUAAACGGUGGGCGCUAGUUGUGCGAACCUUCCACGGUUUGUGCGACGCAACUAACGCAUUAACGCCCCCCCUGGGGAG